UACGUAGGGUGCGAGCGUUAAUCGGAAUUACUGGGCGUAAAGCGUGCGCAGGCGGUUUUGUAAGUCAGAUGUGAAAUCCCCGGGCUCAACCUGGGAACUGCGUUUGAAACUACAAGGCUAGAGUGUAGCAGAGGGGGGUAGAAUUCCACGUGUAGCAGUGAAAUGCGUAGAGAUGUGGAGGAAUACCAAUGGCGAAGGCAGUCCCCUGGGUUAACACUGAC
RNAcentral lists this ribosomal RNA (221 nucleotides) under uncultured bacterium. Its description in RNAcentral is "partial 16S ribosomal RNA". It matches the Rfam family "Bacterial small subunit ribosomal RNA", at positions 524 to 744 of the family's 1533-position model. The record is from RNAcentral.